This 22-nucleotide microRNA is filed under the name Brachionus plicatilis. RNAcentral describes it as "Bpl-Mir-153_3p (mature (guide))". Lineage: Eukaryota; Metazoa; Rotifera; Eurotatoria; Ploima; Brachionidae. The record is from RNAcentral. RNAcentral also lists the same sequence under 1 other name.
UUGCAUAGUCACAAAAGCGAUU